RNAcentral lists this ribosomal RNA (292 nucleotides) under uncultured bacterium. Its description in RNAcentral is "partial 16S ribosomal RNA". The record is from RNAcentral.
GGACUACACGGGUAUCUAAUCCUGUUUGCUACCCACGCUUUCGCGUCUCAGCGUCAGUAUCCGUCCAGACGGCCGCCUUCGCCACUGGUGUUCCUCCCGAUAUCUACGAAUUUCACCUCUACACCGGGAAUUCCGCCAUCCUCUCCGGUACUCAAGCAAGAUAGUUUCGGGCGCACUUCCUCGGUUGAGCCGAGGGCUUUCACACCCGACAUGCCUUGCCGCCUACACGCGCUUUACGCCCAAUAAUUCCGAACAACGCUUGCACCCUCUGUAUUACCGCGGCGGCUGGCAC